This 206-nucleotide long non-coding RNA is filed under the name Mustela putorius furo (domestic ferret). Its description in RNAcentral is "lncRNA (ENSMPUG00000025237.1)". The record is from RNAcentral. Lineage: Eukaryota; Metazoa; Chordata; Mammalia; Carnivora; Mustelidae.
GCAAGAACCAACCCUCCAUCAGACUUCUGUGAGAUUAACCUUCCCAGGGCCUUCUCCAGACCAUUGAUCAUCCUAAAGAGCCUUGGAGAGGUCCUCAUGCUCAUCUACAGCAGAAGCAACAGAUCUCUGCUAAGAAUUGAUUUGGCUGUAGUCCUCCACCUGGCCACCUCUGGUCCCACUUGGCUUUAGCAGGAACAGAUCUUCAG